UCAGUAGCACGUGGCUAACCUACCCUUGGGACGGGGACACCCCCGGGAAACUGGGGCUAAUUUCCGAUAGGUGAAGAACUCUGGAAUGGGUUUUCGCCUAAAGGGCGCUUAGAUCAUGCUUCUAGGCGUUGCCCAAGGAUGGGGCCGCGGCCGAUCAGGUUGUUGGUGAGGUAAUGGCUCACCAAGCCUUUUACCGGUGCGGGCCGUGGGAGCGGUAGCCCGGAGAUGGGCACUGAGACAAGGGCCCAGGUCCUACGGGGCGCAGCAGUUACGAAAAUUCCGCAAUAAGCGAAAGCUUGACGGAGCCAUCCCGAGUGCCGUCCGCUGAGGAUGGCUUUUACCUAGUGUAGAUAUCUGGGGGAAUAAGGAGAGGGCAAGUCUGGUGUCAGCCGCCGCGGUAAUACCAGCUCUCCGAGUGGUGUGGAUGAUUACUGGGCCUAAAGCAUCCGUAGCUGGCUGAACAAGUCCCCUGUUAAAUCCAACGAUUCAAUCGUUGGCGUGCGGGGGAUACUGUUCGGCUAGGGGGCGAGAGAGGCCGUCGGUAUUCUCGGGGUAGGGGUAAAAUCCUAUAAUCCCGGGAAGACCACCAGUGGCGAAGGCUGUCGGCUAGAACGCGCUCGACGGUGAGGGAUGAAAGCUGGGGGAGCGAAUCGGAUUAGAUACCCGAGUAGUCCCAGCUGUAAACGAUGCAGGCUAGGUGUUAGGGCGGCUACGUGCCGCUCUGGUGCCAGCAGGGAAGCUGUUAAGCCUGCCGCCUGGGGAGUACGGGUCGCAAGGCCUGAAACUUAA
Molecule: ribosomal RNA, 789 nt
Filed under: uncultured archaeon
Lineage: Archaea
Description: bacterial SSU rRNA
Rfam family: Archaeal small subunit ribosomal RNA
Source: RNAcentral